CAGCAGCCGCGGGAAUACAGAGGGUGCGAGCGUUAAUCGGAUUUACUGGGCGUAAAGCGUGCGUAGGCGGCUUCUUAAGUCGGAUGUGAAAUCCCUGAGCUUAACUUAGGAAUUGCAUUCGAUACUGGGAAGCUAGAGUAUGGGAGAGGAUGGUAGAAUUCCAGGUGUAGCGGUGAAAUGCGUAGAGAUCUGGAGGAAUACCGAUGGCGAAGGCAGCCAUCUGGCCUAAUACUGACGCUGAGGUACGAAAGCAUGGGGAGCAAACAGGAUUAGAUACACCAGUAGUCCCUGUCUCUUAUAU
RNAcentral lists this ribosomal RNA (301 nucleotides) under uncultured bacterium. RNAcentral describes it as "partial 16S ribosomal RNA". It matches the Rfam family "Bacterial small subunit ribosomal RNA", at positions 509 to 809 of the family's 1533-position model. The record is from RNAcentral.